This 634-nucleotide ribosomal RNA is filed under the name uncultured bacterium. RNAcentral's name for it is "bacterial SSU rRNA". It matches the Rfam family "Bacterial small subunit ribosomal RNA", at positions 258 to 883 of the family's 1533-position model. The record is from RNAcentral.
UAACGGCUUACCAAGGCGACGAUCAGUAGCCGGUCUGAGAGGAUGAACGGCCACAUUGGAACUGAGACACGGUCCAGACUCCUACGGGAGGCAGCAGUGGGGAAUCUUCCGCAAUGGGCGCAAGCCUGACGGAGCAACGCCGCGUGAGUGAAGAAGGGUUUCGACUCGUAAAGCUCUGUUGUCGGGGACGAAUGUGGAGAUGGUGAAUAACCAUUUUCAAUGACGGUACCUGACGAGGAAGCCACGGCUAACUACGUGCCAGCAGCCGCGGUAAUACGUAGGUGGCGAGCGUUGUCCGGAAUUAUUGGGCGUAAAGGGAGCGCAGGCGGGAGGUCAAGUCUAUCUUAAAAGUGCGGGGCUCAACCCCGUGAGGGGAUGGAAACUGGUCUUCUUGAGUGCAGGAGAGGAAAGCGGAAUUCCUAGUGUAGCGGUGAAAUGCGUAGAUAUUAGGAGGAACACCAGUGGCGAAGGCGGCUUUCUGGACUGUAACUGACGCUGAGGCUCGAAAGCGUGGGGAGCGAACAGGAUUAGAUACCCUGGUAGUCCACGCCGUAAACGAUGAAUGCUAGGUGUAGGAGGUAUCGACCCCUUCUGUGCCGGAGUUAACGCAAUAAGCAUUCCGCCUGGGGAGUAC